UAGCAGCAGCAGCAGCAGCAAAAGUAACAGCAGCAGCAAAAGUAACAGCAGCAGCAGCACCACCACCAACAGUAGUAAAACAACUUUUGGGUGAUUUCUUAUCCAUUUAGAAUAUAAUUUAAGCAUUAACUGAAAUUGCUGUUUGUAUUGGUCAGUUUCCAGCCAUCCAAUAUGUGUUGGUGCAACAGUUCAUUUUUCCUUAUGUGGGAAAUUAAUCACCAGUUCUUGGGAGCCUGUUGAUCUCUAUAAGAAUGACAGUUCUCAACUGCUCUAGGUCUUUGACACAUGCCACUGACUACACACAACUCAUUUCUAGCAAUGAUGUAUCUGACACCAGGCAGUCUACGCUUUCAUCUCUACCAGAAGCCUGCCUACAUUAUUCCUGUAUGAACAUCACAUGAACAACAGACCAAUGGCCACCUGUACACAACACUGAACAGUAUGUCAUCUAUGUCUAUUAGAUCAACAGUCCAGCCUGACUACAAAGUUUCUCACACAUCUUUGUUGUAACCUGUUAUGUUAUUUUAUUUCAUGUAUGGCAAUCAUUGUAUUUUAUAAUGGAGAAUAAAUUGUCGUUUACCAGUUCA
Molecule: long non-coding RNA, 587 nt
Organism: Octopus bimaculoides (California two-spot octopus)
Lineage: Eukaryota; Metazoa; Mollusca; Cephalopoda; Octopoda; Octopodidae
Source: RefSeq, a predicted model, not a curated record